Molecule: ribosomal RNA, 433 nt
Filed under: uncultured bacterium
Lineage: Bacteria
Description: partial 16S ribosomal RNA
Rfam family: Bacterial small subunit ribosomal RNA
Source: RNAcentral
AACGAACGCUGGCGGCAUGCCUAACACAUGCAAGUCGAACGAGACCUUCGGGUCUAGUGGCGCACGGGUGCGUAACGCGUGGGAACCUGCCCUUAGGUUCGGAAUAACUCCCCGAAAGGGGUGCUAAUACCGGAUAAUGUCUUCGGACCAAAGAUUUAUCGCCUUUGGAUGGGCCCGCGUUGGAUUAGCUAGUUGGUAGGGUAAAAGCCUACCAAGGCGACGAUCCAUAGCUGGUCUGAGAGGAUGAUCAGCCACACUGGGACUGAGACACGGCCCAGACCCCCUCCGGAGGGCGGCGGUGGGGAUAUUGGAACAUGGGGCGAAGGCCGAUCCCGCCAUGGCCGCUGAGUUAUGAAGGGCCUAGGGUUGGUAAGGUUCUUUUACCGGGAAGAUUAUUACCGGACCCGGAGAAUAAGCUCCGGCUAACUCCGUG